CGCGGGGCGGCUGGGUGGUUCAGGUGACGGACAGCUAAUCCGCUGCGUUCAGCAUGCCUGGGUUCGAAUCCCAUCCUUGUCA
RNAcentral lists this transfer RNA (82 nucleotides) under Anguilla anguilla (European eel). RNAcentral's name for it is "tRNA-Ser". Lineage: Eukaryota; Metazoa; Chordata; Actinopteri; Anguilliformes; Anguillidae. The record is from RNAcentral.